CAGUCGAACGCGUCUCCGUUAAUGAUUUUAGGUGCUUGCACUUGAAAGAUUUAACAUUGAGACGAGUGGCGAACUGGUGAGUAACACGUGGGUAACCUGCCCUUGAAGUAGGGGAUAACACUUGGAAACAGGUGCUAAUACCGUAUAACAACCAAAGCCACCUGGUUUUGGUUUAAAAGACGGCUUCGGCUGUCACUUUAGGAUGGACCCGCGGCGUAUUAGCUUGUUGGUAAGGUAACGGCCUACCAAGGCGAUGAUACGUAGCCGACCUGAGAGGGUAAUCGGCCACAUUGGGACUGAGACACGGCCCAAACUCCUACGGGAGGCAGCAGUAGGGAAUCUUCCACAAUGGACGAAAGUCUGAUGGAGCAACGCCGCGUGAGUGAUGAAGGGUUUCGGCUCGUAAAACUCUGUUGUUGGAGAAGAACAGGUGUCAGAGUAACUGUUGACAUCUUGACGGUAUCCAACCAGAAAGCCACGGCUAACUACGUGCCAGCAGCCGCGGUAAUACGUAGGUGGCAAGCGUUGUCCGGAUUUAUUGGGCGUAAAGCGAGCGCAGGCGGUUUUUUAGGUCUGAUGUGAAAGCCUUCGGCUUAACCGGAGAAGUGCAUCGGAAACCGGGAGACUUGAGUGCAGAAGAGGACAGUGGAACUCCAUGUGUAGCGGUGAAAUGCGUAGAUAUAUGGAAGAACACCAGUGGCGAAGGCGGCUGUCUGGUCUGUAACUGACGCUGAGGCUCGAAAGCAUGGGUAGCGAACAGGAUUAGAUACCCUGGUAGUCCAUGCCGUAAACGAUGAGUGCUAAGUGUUGGAGGGUUUCCGCCCUUCAGUGCUGCAGCUAACGCAUUAAGCACUCCGCCUGGGGAGUACGACCGCAAGGUUGAAACUCAAAGGAAUUGACGGGGGCCCGCACAAGCGGUGGAGCAUGUGGUUUAA
RNAcentral lists this ribosomal RNA (935 nucleotides) under uncultured bacterium. RNAcentral's name for it is "bacterial SSU rRNA". It matches the Rfam family "Bacterial small subunit ribosomal RNA", at positions 59 to 949 of the family's 1533-position model. The record is from RNAcentral.